This 319-nucleotide ribosomal RNA is filed under the name uncultured eukaryote. RNAcentral describes it as "partial 18S ribosomal RNA". It matches the Rfam family "Eukaryotic small subunit ribosomal RNA", at positions 1470 to 1796 of the family's 1831-position model. The record is from RNAcentral.
CUCUUAGAUGUCCUGGGCCGCACGCGUGCUACACUGACGCCUACAGCGAGUACUUCCCAGCCCCGAGAGGUGGCUGGUAAUCAGCAAUAGGCGUCGUGAUGGGGAUAGAUCUUUGGAAUUAUGGAUCUUGAACGAGGAAUGCCUAGUAAGCGCAGAUCAUUAGCCUGCGCUGAUUAAGUCCCUGCCCUUUGUACACACCGCCCGUCGCUCCUACCGAUUUCGAGUGGUCCGGUGAAUCUUUCGGACUGCGCGCGGCCUCGUGCCGUGUCGCGGAAAGUCAGGUAAACCUUAUCACUUAGAGGAAGGAGAAGUCGUAACA